CGAAGGGGGGACGGAGAAGGCUAUGUUGGCCGGGCGACGGUUGUCCCGGUUUAAGCGUGUAGGCUGGUUUUCCAGGCAAAUCCGGAAAAUCAAGGCUGAGGCGUGAUGACGAGGCACUACGGUGCUGAAGCAACAAAUGCCCUGCUUCCAGGAAAAGCCUCUAAGCAUCAGGUAACAUCAAAUCGUACCCCAAACCGACACAGGUGGUCAGGUAGAGAAUACCAAGGCGCUUGAGAGAACUCGGGUGAAGGAACUAGGCAAAAUGGUGCCGUAACUUCGGGAGAAGGCACGCUGAUAUGUAGGUGAAGUCCCUCGCGGAUGGAGCUGAAAUCAGUCGAAGAUACCAGCUGGCUGCAACUGUUUAUUAAAAACACAGCACUGUGCAAACACGAAAGUGGACGUAUACGGUGUGACGCCUGCCCGGUGC
RNAcentral lists this ribosomal RNA (427 nucleotides) under Escherichia coli. RNAcentral describes it as "partial 23S ribosomal RNA". It matches the Rfam family "Bacterial large subunit ribosomal RNA", at positions 1462 to 1869 of the family's 2925-position model. Lineage: Bacteria; Pseudomonadati; Pseudomonadota; Gammaproteobacteria; Enterobacterales; Enterobacteriaceae. The record is from RNAcentral. RNAcentral also lists the same sequence under 1 other name.